GGUUUAAUUCGAUGAUACGCGAGGAACCUUACCCGGGCUUGAACUGCCAGUGACUCAUGCAGAGACGCAUGUUUCUUCGGACACUGGCGGAGGUGCUGCAUGGUUGUCGUCAGCUCGUGCCGUGAGGUGUCGGCUUAAAGUGCCAUAACGAGCGCAACCCUUCUCCCUGUUUGCCAUCGGGUAAUGCCGGGCACUCCAGGGACACUGCCAUCGUAAGAUGUGA
This 223-nucleotide ribosomal RNA is filed under the name uncultured bacterium. RNAcentral's name for it is "partial 16S ribosomal RNA". It matches the Rfam family "Bacterial small subunit ribosomal RNA", at positions 943 to 1167 of the family's 1533-position model. The record is from RNAcentral.